RNAcentral lists this non-coding RNA (100 nucleotides) under Salipiger bermudensis HTCC2601. RNAcentral describes it as "Pelagibaca bermudensis HTCC2601 TPP riboswitch aptamer (THI element)". It matches the Rfam family "TPP riboswitch aptamer (THI element)". From Rfam's summary of the family: Vitamin B(1) in its active form thiamin pyrophosphate (TPP) is an essential coenzyme that is synthesised by coupling of pyrimidine and thiazole moieties in bacteria. The previously detected thiamin-regulatory element, thi box was extended, resulting in a new, highly conserved RNA secondary structure, the THI element, which is widely distributed in eubacteria and also occurs in some archaea. Analysis of operon structures identified a large number of new candidate thiamin-regulated genes, mostly transporters, in various prokaryotic organisms. RNAcentral also lists the same sequence under 1 other name. Lineage: Bacteria; Pseudomonadati; Pseudomonadota; Alphaproteobacteria; Rhodobacterales; Roseobacteraceae. The record is from Rfam by way of RNAcentral.
UGCGAUACCUCGGGGUGCCCGCACGGGCUGAGAUGCAUGACGCGAACCCGUUGAACCUGAACCGGUUGAUACCGGCGGAGGGAAGGUGACGGCAUCCUGC